Molecule: non-coding RNA, 269 nt
Organism: Cinara cedri
Lineage: Eukaryota; Metazoa; Arthropoda; Insecta; Hemiptera; Aphididae
Source: the annotation of a GenBank genome assembly
AAACGAUUUCGCGUGUAUAAUUAUUAUCGAUGUUUUUCGAUUAUUCAUGCGGGUAGUGCUACAUACAGGACGUCUCGCGAAUGAUACGAUCUUAUCGCAAUAUCUUGUCAAGUAUUAGAUUUUUUUUUCUCUUCGAAAUUUAAGAAGCGAGUAGUUAUAAAAUUUUACAUUUCCGUUAUUUUCGAAAACUUAGUAUUUGUUGAACUUUCAAUAUGGGUCGACAUUUGAAAACCGAACUCGGAUCGUCGGUUCACUCACCCAAAAUUAAC